UGUCAGUGCAGUAAAAGAAGGCAUGUUUUCUCACUGCCCCAUGGAGCCUGCCAUUCUACUUCUUUGCUUAGUAGCAGCUCCUGUGUAUGUCCACUCCACCAUCCAACUUGUGGAAUCUGGGCCAGGAAGAGUGAGCCCUGGAGGAUCCUUCAGAUUAACUUGCAAAGUGACAGGGGAAUCCAUUGAGAAUAUAGCCUUGGCAUGGAUCCGCCAGGCUCCAGGAAAAGGAUUGGAAUGGGUGGGUGACAUAGCCUUGGUGGAGGGUGAAUGGAGAACAGUCUAUGCCUCAUCCCUCCAAAGUCGAACGACCUUGACAGCCGAUGACUCCAAGAAUGAAUGUUACUUGACAAUGAAAUCCCUGACAGCUGCAGACUCAGCCACAUAUUACUGUGCAGGAGAGUCACAAAGACCUGGAGAGUCCCUCCAUCUCUCCUGCCAAGGAUCUGGCUACACGUUCAGCAGCUACUGGAAGAGCUGGGUGAGACAGGCUCCGGGGAAAGGCCUGGAAUGGGUGGCAAGGAUACGCUAUGAUGCUGCAUAUACUUACUACCCUGACAAAGUGAAGGGCCGCUUCACCAUCUCCAGGGACAAUGCCAAAAGCCAGCUGUAUCUGCAAAUGAACAGCCUCACAGCUGAAGACACAGCAGUCUAUUACUGUGUGAGAGACACAGUAGACCUGAACAAUGAGUUAAAACAAAAGCAGGAUUGUGUGGGAUGGUGA
Molecule: non-coding RNA, 721 nt
Organism: Crotalus tigris (Tiger rattlesnake)
Lineage: Eukaryota; Metazoa; Chordata; Lepidosauria; Squamata; Viperidae
Source: the annotation of a RefSeq genome assembly